Molecule: long non-coding RNA, 1634 nt
Organism: Herpailurus yagouaroundi (jaguarundi)
Lineage: Eukaryota; Metazoa; Chordata; Mammalia; Carnivora; Felidae
Exons: 2
Source: RefSeq, a predicted model, not a curated record
UCUCUUUAAAACACCCCGCAGCUGUCCCUUGGUUUGUUUGUGUUGCUCUGGGGAAUGUUUGCCUGUGGCCUUGUUGCAACGGGUGGGCAGCGUUAUCCCCAAGAUACAGUGGCUGUCAGCUCACCAUUCUUUUCCUCUCCAAGGCAUGUGCCCUGCUAGGAGAGUGAGUGCCCCUAGCAGUGGGUCUAUUAAAUGCCCCCUCCUGCCCCAUUUAUGUAGAGAGAACAACUAAAGAUAGUCCUGUGGAGAGCCUGCCCACACAGUUUUCAGGGCUGUUCUAUUGCUCUGCCUCUGCUCCAGUUUCUAUAGAUAGAAGGUUGGGUUUGACAAACAUCCUCAAAUGACCGUCCCUAGUAUGGACGUUAAACAAGGCCUCAGACUUUGCCCCUCUCCUUAUGGCAGUGUGCCGAUUAGAGCAUAGUAAAUACGGUCUGACUGCCUGCUUGUUGCAUGGUCAUGAAAGAGGUUUUGUUUUGUUUCGUUUCGUUUUGCCGGAUAUUGGGGGACAUCGCAUAAGACUGCUGACACGUAUGUGGUAGUGGAGAUUAAAACUCAACACCAAAACCGCUGCGCCCCUCACUGUUGCUGUUUAAACGCAGGUUUGCUAGGAUCUAGGUGUGUAUGGAUUUUUGUGGGUCACUCUUUUGUGAUUGUGCUUUUGAACAAGUGAAGGAGAAGAGGAACGUGGCAGCUCGCAUGCCCGAGUUAAAUCCUGAAGUCAAAGGCCGUGUAGGCAUGUAGAUAUUAAUCGAACAGUGAUUUAAUGAGGGCCUAAAAUCUGCCAGGCGCCGCUCUGGGUGCUGCUGGGACAUAGUAACGAACAAGCCGUUGUGGUGUCCAGAGCUUCUGGAGCCUACAUUUUAGUGAAGGAGGACAAGUAAACAAUCGUGAUUCAGGAGAACUGAAUGCCACGAAAUAAAUAAAAUAGGGGGACGGACCAGAGCAGCAUCUGUCUUGCUGAACAUGGGAAUCACUAAAAGAUCUUUAACAGAUGCCUGGACUUCCUUCUCCCCCAAUUCUGAUUUAAUGGUUCUGGGUUAUGGCCUGGGCAUCAGAGUUUUUAAAGCUCUCAUGUGCCGUGAAGCCUGAGAACCACAGGCUCAAGCCCGACAGCUUGGGAGAUGUGUUGCAGUGCAUUGGCAGGGAGGCUGAUUAGCUUUGGCAUUCAGAAGGAAGAGGUGAAAAAACACAAGACAGAUCGAAUACGAUAACUGCUUCUGGACCUGGAAGCAGUCGCACUGCUGCCACCCCCAUCGUCCACUUUGCUCCCGUGGUCAGAUCCAGGGCAGAGCUGAGGGACUGUUUUACACACUCGGUUGGGGGUUGGGAGAGUGAUGGAGCCAGCCGUACCUCUGCAUAACUUCAAUAUGUGUAAUCUUCCAGCGGCUGUUUCUGGCUCUGGGAGUCGUCUGGGAGAACUGUGCUGCAGCAUAACAUCCAGGCUCUGCAGAUACUUCAGUUGCUGCCUCAGAGAAGCCUCCCGAGAAAGGGUGGGCCGUGGGCCAUCUGCAAGAGGUGGGGGGAAUCGAGAUCUGAGAUUCUGUUCUCUUCCUGCACUUCCUACACUUACUCCCGCAUAGCAUUUUCAGCAGAUGAAUCAGAUUAAAAUAACCAUGAAUGGCACUUUCUAAGAG